AGCACAUUAGCACACAGCACUCAACUGCAGAACAAGAACGUGAACGGAUGCAAAAUGGACAUAAGAAACUUUUUCAAGAAAGAGUCAGGGCAGAGGAGCACAGAAAGUGGGAGGGCAGAGGCUUCUACUGGAAAGGUGCGAGCACGGCGAACAUUCUCCUGAACCUCACCAAGAUCCAGGGAGUCAAAAUGGCACAGAGGAAGACGCUGGCCCUGGAGAAAGAUAUACCAAAAUAUGUCUUUGUUAGAUGAGGUGGCGACUUGUCCAGGGUGUACACCGCCUUCCACCCGAUUGUAGCUGAGAUAGGCUCCAGCGCCCCCCGCGACCCCGAAGGGAAUAAGCGGUAGAAAAUGGAUGGAUGGAUAGAUGGGUUUUUUUCUAUUAGGGGUGUGCUAUCUUGGACAACUCACAUUUUGAUUGACAAGGCUACAAUUCGAUUAUUCAACGAAUAUUACGAUCGAUUGUCGAUUAAGGUUUUUCCCCCAUCAACUUAAGAGCACCCCAACUUACCGGUAAGUGUUUUGAGAACAUUUGAGAUUGUUAUGCUUUAAGUUGCAAGUAAAGUUACAAACAUUCCCGCCUUUAGUUGACUUAAAACAUUUCAAAGUGAAUUUCAUAGUGAACUUUGUCAGAUUUGCCAAAAACAUUGUGUCUUACUCACUUGCAUUAGUUUGCAGCUACAAAUGGACACGACUUUGUUUUUCCAACCAUUGGAAGGAAGAAAGUGAGUAUGAAGGACAGUGCAAAGAAAAAGAAGAAGAAGAAGA
Long non-coding RNA from Nerophis lumbriciformis (worm pipefish), 767 nucleotides. RefSeq lists it as uncharacterized. Lineage: Eukaryota; Metazoa; Chordata; Actinopteri; Syngnathiformes; Syngnathidae. The record is from RefSeq and is a predicted model, not a curated record.